Molecule: ribosomal RNA, 374 nt
Filed under: uncultured bacterium
Lineage: Bacteria
Description: bacterial SSU rRNA
Rfam family: Bacterial small subunit ribosomal RNA
Source: RNAcentral
GACGAACGCUGGCGGCGUGCUUAACACAUGCAAGUCGAGCGGUAAGGCCCUUUCGGGGGUACACGAGCGGCGAACGGGUGAGUAACACGUGGGUGACCUGCCCUCAGCUCUGGGAUAAGCCUGGGAAACCGGGUCUAAUACUGGAUAUGACUCCAUGACGCAUGUUGUGGGGUGGAAAGCCUUGUGCGGCUGAGGAUGGGGCCCGCGGCCUAUCAGCUUGUUGGUGGGGUGAGGCCUACCAAGGCGACGACGGGUAGCCGGCCUGAGAGGGCGACCGGCCACACUGGGACUGAGACACGGCCCAGACUCCUACGGGAGGCAGCAGUGGGGAAUAUUGCGCAAUGGGCGUAAGCCUGACGCAGCGACGCCGGCGU